Molecule: unclassified non-coding RNA, 348 nt
Filed under: soil metagenome
Description: partial contains 5.8S ribosomal RNA, internal transcribed spacer 2, and large subunit ribosomal RNA
Rfam family: 5.8S ribosomal RNA (bases 1-120)
Source: RNAcentral
GAUGAAGAACGUAGCGAAAUGCGAUAAGUAAUGUGAAUUGCAGAAUUCAGUGAAUCAUCGAAUCUUUGAACGCACAUUGCGCCCGCCAGUAUUCUGGCGGGCAUGCCUGUCUGAGCGUCAUUUCAACCCUCAUGCCCCUAGGGCGUGGUGUUGGGGAUCGGCCAAAGCCCGCGAGGGACGGCCGGCCCCUAAAUCUAGUGGCGGACCCGUCGUGGCCUCCUCUGCGAAGUAGUGAUAUUCCGCAUCGGAGAGCGACGAGCCCCUGCCGUUAAACCCCCAACUUUCCAAGGUUGACCUCAGAUCAGGUAGGAAUACCCGCUGAACUUAAGCAUAUCAAUAAGCGGGGGA